This 1206-nucleotide long non-coding RNA is filed under the name Cricetulus griseus (Chinese hamster). RNAcentral's name for it is "lncRNA (ENSCGRG00015038112.1)". Lineage: Eukaryota; Metazoa; Chordata; Mammalia; Rodentia; Cricetidae. The record is from RNAcentral.
UAGAAGCAUUCCAGCAUUGGGUAUAGAAGCAAGUCUCAUUGCUACAUUUCUGCAAGCUAUAAUUACUAACAAUAAACAUAAAUGGUGGAUGCACAGACACAGGGAUAGCUGUAUAAUGUUCCAUCUAAACAACGACCAUUAAUUCCACAAAGCAUCCAAAUACUAAAAGGAUUUAGAAGAUCUGUUUGUUGAAACAAACCCUGAAGAUAUUCUUCUGAGCCCACUCUAUCAGGGGAAAAGGCCGGAUCCCCAAUCUCACCUGAGGGCUUACCGGUGCACCCCCUGACUGCAGCAAGUUCUGGGCUCCACGAGGUCGUUCCCCAACGGGCCUCCACUUGUCAACCGCCUCGAGAGGAUGACGCAACACCGAAGCUCUUCGGGCAAGCAGUUUAUUCAGGACCUUGAACAGCGAUCUCUCUCCUCGGGCAAGCCUCUCCCAGCCUUAAAUAGGCAUGGACCACCAACCCUGGAUUGCCACGUGGGCACCGUCCAUAGGUCCACGCCUACGAUCAUCCGCUUACGAGCAUCCGGCCUUAGCCAUAUAUGGAGUUGUUUUUUUUGAAGAGAGCUCGGGAGGGAGCCAGCGCCAUCUUUAAAGCGGGGCAGCUCUCUACACUGUUAAAUACAUCCAGGGUACACAAACUUAGUUCCCAGUUACCUGCUUCAGACUCAUGCCUAAAAUCAUGAACAGGAAGCUUGAAGGAGCCUAUUUUUAGAAUUACUUAGUAAUUUAUACAACCAUUAGUAUCAUGACAAAGUUUAAAUGCAUAUAAUAAUCUCAUAAACUUUGAGAUAAUAUUUAUACCUUAAUAAAAGUCUUAAAGAGUCAAAAUAAAACCAAAGGAUUAUGAAAUUAGUGGCAAUACAAUAGUCCCUUAAUUUUUUUUUUUUCUGUCCCAAAUCAGGUGGCUCUUCUGACAUGAAACAGACUUGGAUUUUUCUUGGGUUUAGAGAGGGAGAAAGCCGCAUUCCAGUUCCAAGGCCAGUUUUAAUUUUUAAUUGAAUUGGGACUACAAAAAGGCAAUUUACCUUAUAUGUCUGUAGAGAACAGCAGAAACAAACAUUUUGGAAGAUUUAUGAAAUUCUAUCCUGUUGGAGGUAUGCUAUACCAUUAGGCCAAUUUAUUUUUUCUGUUGCAGCAUUUUCUCUUGAUUUGUCCUUCUUCAGAUGUCUCAUUUGUCCAGUGGGCUUCAGGUUUCUUAGUUG